RNAcentral lists this unclassified non-coding RNA (213 nucleotides) under Hevea brasiliensis (rubber tree). The record is from RNAcentral. Lineage: Eukaryota; Viridiplantae; Streptophyta; Magnoliopsida; Malpighiales; Euphorbiaceae.
AUUCGAGGUAGGUUUUCCCACCCCCAUAUGCAGUAGUCAAUAAAAGGCCGAGAAAGUGCCAUCCAAGCAGAACCUGUAAAGAGUUUAAAGGCUGUGGGAAGAGCUCUCUUCGGCGAGACCCAAAAUAUGUCAGACUUGGUUGUCUUAUAGAGACCAGGGUCUAUAAUAAGCGGCAUUGCCCUUUGACCCUCUUUCCAACCCAGCCGGCUACUG